UUUUCCUUUAGUCUCCUAUCCUUGCUUUGCUUUCAUUCUUCUUCCUUCGAGCAAAACCGAAGCAGCUUCAUCCCCUCCGAUUCUGCAGCUCCCAUUUUACUUCAUCGAAUUCAACGUCCCCUUCUUUGCAGUCCAAGUGUUGACCGAAUCCCCUCCAUCUUCGUUGCUCCCUGCCAUACGUCCAUUUCCGCCUCCACUCACCCUACUUUGUUUGUUCCUUUCUUCUGCAUCACCGCCAGCACGCGCGCACGCCUGCCAAGUCCACCGAAUGCUCUUCUUCUCCAACAUUUCAGUCUUUGUUUUGCUCGGUCAAAACUCCAUCGAAGCCUCUGCCGAACUUGCCACCAGCCUGCUUCCAUUUUCAUUUGUUGACCCUGUGCCAGCUAGCUUCGCCCACGCAUCUCCUCGGUCUUCCCCAUCUCGCGCCAGCAAGCAUCCCGAAGCUGCUGCCAAUUCACGCCCUCCACAACUCGUGUCUUCUUCGGUCAAGUUCAGCUCCAUCUUUGACCGGAGCAUUUCGCCAUCACCUCCAGCGAAGCUUGGCCCAGCGAAGCGUUUUCUUCAAGCCCAGCCAUUUGAAGCCCAUCUUUGGGCUUUUUUGUUCAGCCCACAAACCAGUGGAGUCCAGCCCAGCGAAAUUUUCAAGUCCAGCAGCCCAUCAAUUGAGUCAUUCGGCCCACUUGAAGUCAGCCCAAGAAGCCAGUGAAGCCCAUGAAAUUUCCAGCUCAUCUUCAGUUUGAGUCAGGCCCAUUUGAAGCCCAAGCCCGCGAAGCAAGCCAGCCCAAUUCAGCAACAAGUCUCAGUUUGGGCUGAGAUUUGUUGGGCCGAUUUUAGGUCCGGUCCAAGCCCGUUAGUGUCGUCGCGAGCCCAAGUUCAGCUACCGUCGCAUCGCCGUCACGGGUCAUCAAGUGGAGGACCUGGAGCUGAGAGGAGGUGAUCAAAAGUGUAGGUCAGUUAUGACUGCUUCUUUUUAAAAAGCCAGUUGUUGUAGUCUUUUGGUCAUAGACCUUGUACAUGGAUCAGUGUGUAUAUAAAGGUGUGUGAAAUUUGUGAAUUUGAUAUUCUACUUUUCUAUCUCAA
This is a long non-coding RNA of Eucalyptus grandis, 1080 nucleotides long. RefSeq lists it as uncharacterized. The record is from RefSeq and is a predicted model, not a curated record. Lineage: Eukaryota; Viridiplantae; Streptophyta; Magnoliopsida; Myrtales; Myrtaceae. The transcript is spliced from 2 exons.